RNAcentral lists this ribosomal RNA (274 nucleotides) under uncultured bacterium. RNAcentral's name for it is "partial 16S ribosomal RNA". It matches the Rfam family "Bacterial small subunit ribosomal RNA", at positions 523 to 796 of the family's 1533-position model. The record is from RNAcentral.
AUACGGAGAGGGCGAGCGUUGUUCGGAUUUACUGGGCGUAAAGGGCAUGUAGGUGUCCCGAUAAGCUCUGGGUGAAAUCUCCGCGCUCAACGCGGAAACGAAUCAGAGAACUAUCGGGAUUGAGUUCAGGAGAAGAGAGUGGAAUUCUCAGUGUAGCGGUGAAAUGCGUAGCUAUUGAGAAGCACACCAGAGGCGAAGGCGGCUCUCUAUUCUGAACCUGACACUCAAAUGCGAAAGCGUGGGGAGCGAAUGGGAUUAGAAACCCCAGUAGUCC